This 359-nucleotide RNase P RNA is filed under the name Zetaproteobacteria bacterium. RNAcentral describes it as "RNase P RNA component class A". It matches the Rfam family "Bacterial RNase P class A". From Rfam's summary of the family: Ribonuclease P (RNase P) is a ubiquitous endoribonuclease, found in archaea, bacteria and eukarya as well as chloroplasts and mitochondria. Its best characterised activity is the generation of mature 5'-ends of tRNAs by cleaving the 5'-leader elements of precursor-tRNAs. The record is from RNAcentral. Lineage: Bacteria; Pseudomonadati; Pseudomonadota; Candidatius Mariprofundia.
GGAGUGACCCGGGUAAUCGCGGCGACCAUCGGGUCGACGAGGAAAGUCCGGGCUGCACAGGGCAGGGUGCCGGAUAACGUCCGGCGGGGGUGACCCCGGGACAGUGCCACAGAAAGCAGACCGCCCCGCCAGGCGCGGGGUAAGGGUGAAAGGGUGCGGUAAGAGCGCACCGACCCGCUCGGCAACGGGCGGGGGCUUGGUAAACCCCACCCGCAGCAAGGCCGAAUAGGGAAGCAUACGGCGUGGCCCGCGCUGCUUCCGGGUAGGCCGCUCGAGUUUGUCAGCAAUGGCAAACCUAGAUGAAUGAUUACCGCCCCCGUAAGGGGGAACAGAACCCGGCUUACAGGGUCACUCCGACG